RNAcentral lists this small RNA (23 nucleotides) under Arabidopsis thaliana (thale cress). Its description in RNAcentral is "Ath_wt_03122". The record is from RNAcentral. Lineage: Eukaryota; Viridiplantae; Streptophyta; Magnoliopsida; Brassicales; Brassicaceae.
CUCGGGGGUCCCAGUUCCGAACC